UUAUUGUACUCACAAGAUAAAAUUGAAAGGUAAGCCCAUCAAUAUCAAAUUUGUCCACAUGGAUAGCUGCAGAUUCUCCCACAACAGGAUCAAAUAUAAGGCUAAAAUCAGUAUAUACAAUAAUAAAACACACUGUCACUAGGUCCUUCUUUCGCCCUAUGCGUUUCCUCCCUCCUUGGACCUCAUCAGGGGAUUCCCAGCGUCUGUAUACCGGGAGUAGAUAACCCCCAUCUUUAAAGGCCUCUUUGGCGCCAUUCUGCAUGGCUAUAGACCAAUCUGAAACGUCCGUUGUUUAGAAACACAUAUUUAGAAUUUCCAUGAUUACUUCCGAGUUCGGAGCGUCUCAAGCCUCAUUUUCGUAUGGAAGCACCGUCAAUUUUCGGCGAAAAAG
Non-coding RNA from Pelobates cultripes (western spadefoot toad), 391 nucleotides. The record is from the annotation of a GenBank genome assembly. NCBI's taxonomy places the organism in Eukaryota, Metazoa, Chordata, Amphibia, Anura, Pelobatidae.